AAUCAACGCUGGCGGCGUGCCUCAGACAUGCAAGUCGAACGAUUAAACUUUCCUUCGGGAAAGAUAUAAAGUGGCGCACGGGUGAGUAACACGUAGGUAAUGUGCCUUUGGGUGGGGAAUAACUUAGGGAAACUUAAGCUAAUACCGCAUAAUGCAGCGGCUCCUUCGGGAGACAGUUGUUAAAGAUUUAUCGCCUAAAGAGCAGCCUGCGGCAGAUUAGCUAGUUGGUAAGGUAACGGCUUACCAAGGCUACGAUCUGUAUCCGACCUGAGAGGGUGGUCGGACACACUGACACUGAAUAACGGGUCAGACUCCUACGGGAGGCAGCAGUCGGGAAUUUUGGGCAAUGGGCGAAAGCCUGACCCAGCAACGCCGCGUGAAGGAUGAAGUCUUUC
Molecule: ribosomal RNA, 395 nt
Filed under: uncultured bacterium
Lineage: Bacteria
Description: bacterial SSU rRNA
Rfam family: Bacterial small subunit ribosomal RNA
Source: RNAcentral